AUCCAUAGCUCUGUCUAUGAAUUUGAGAGUGGUUACAUUUCUCUAGCACCAUCCCUCAGCUUUCUACCGAAACAGUGACUGGGAAUGGCUUUGUUAUUGUUUCAACUGCUGAUUGACGCUUUAAAGGGGGUUCAGACAAUGGGCCUGAUUCACAAACAGAAAAGAAACGUAGAAAAACGUUUUAACAUAUUUUUUUAUCAUUGACUUUCUAAACUUUUCAGAAUGCUAAGGAAAUGCUACCUGUCUAUCAAGAAACAUUGUCAUUCUAUGACUCCUAUCCAAAGGUUGAUGAAAUCAAUGUGUAUGGGUUUUUGUGCUACGUUUUCUCACAGUGUGGGUUGGGAGGCCACAGUGACUGAAUAUUCAUGUCACGUUGUACAAAAACCCUCAACAUAAUUUCUAUGUUCAGAACCUUAAAAGUAAACAAGGCAACCUGACUCUACUGGGCAAACAAAUUGCGCUACAGUUUUGGUAAGUAGUUAGUUCAUUAUCUUUGCAAACAUGGCAAUAUAUCUAGUUAUUUGUUCAAUUUGGUCUUAGCCUUAGUUUUACAACUUUGAUUAUGAAAGUGUGAAAAUGUAUUUUUAAAGCUUAAACAUGUUCUAGGUUGCCUUCUUGACUCUGCAAUUAGUCCCAAACUGUACUUGGAAGUGACAUAACGCUGUAAUUAUACAAACCAGAUGUAAGAGGUUUUUGUACGGACAUGUUCCACAGUGCAUAUAAACUGACAUUUGGAAAAGCCAUCAAUCUCAUUGUUGAACCCAAUGGAACUCCUGUCCGCCCAACACUGUCCAUCCUCACCCCACUACACAAGAUAGAGAAUGAUGACCAGCCUGAGGUGUGCCUGGCUACAGGCUUCUUUCCUAGGAUUGAAAACAUGAAUCUCACCCUGGGGAAUAAUGUUACUGUCCCACGCAAAACAACCAAGGCAGCUUUAUCUUCCACACGUACCUACUUCUUUGCCGGAUUCUCCAAAGAGAAUAUCAAGCGUUGUGAGAUGGAUGGCGUCGUCAAGAAGCGCGUUGAUGAUGGUGGUUUUCCAGAUGUGUCUAACGAUAAGACCACGGCUACAACUGCUUCUGACAAUUGCGAACAUGAACGCCUCAACAAUGCUACUGCCACCAACUAUACCGGUUGGUGAUAUUUUGCUACACUAAAUAAAAACAUGGUGUAAAGUCAAUUGUACUGCAUGAUGCACACAUGUUUAAAUUUCAGCAUGUCUAAGUGUGCAAAACACUGAAAUGACGCAACAUUUGUUUUUUACAGAUUAUACCAAGAUGAACUUCACAUCCUUGGUUGUGUAUGGUUUGAGAGUGCUGUUUGCCAAAGCCGUGGCAUUUAAUGUGCUAUUUACUGUCAAGGCCCUGGUGUUCUAGGUAAGUGAAAUGAACUCUGUUUUAGUUCAGAUUUUUGACAUAAAUUGAUUAAAUGACAGCUGUAAAGAAAAAAUAUAAUAUAUAAUAAUUUGCUUAAUUGCAUUACAGAAUCAUUCGCAAUUCUAUUUACAGACCUAUUUUCACUUGGACUCCUACUAUUCAGUUCUGCUUUGCAUCCAGUUUGUGAAACCUGCCUUGUGGUUUUAUCGAGAGCUUCAACAGUAUUAGUAUCUGACUUUUUCAGGGUUGAAUGCUGCAAUUCCUCUGCUUACACUUUGGAAAUACUAGAUACUAAAUACACAUGUUAUGCAUGUGAUUGUUCGGUAUUAAACAUUAGGUUACAUUUUAUAUUCUAUAUCAUUUUAUAUUGUGUUAUGUUAUUUCUAUUGACUUGUAUUAUAUCUUUAACUGCAAGUUGUCAUCAAAAGUGUAUAAAGACGUCAAAAAUGAUUUCAAACAAUAAUGUAAUUGUACAUUGAUCAAGUUGUGUACGUGGAUACUUUGCAGUUGUUUCUAAAUGCACAAAACCUGUCAAUAGAGAAUUUAAACCACAUUUUCACCAGUACAUUGAAACCAUAUGAACAGCCAAACCAAAUGAACAGAUAAAGAUCUAUAAGACACCUUGACUUCCAAGAAAUGGCUCCAUCAGUUACUUUAUUUGCAUGCGUGCUCAAGAAGUAACAAUAGCGAGAAACACGCAUGAUAGUGGGAAACACACACUUUAUAAUGGUUGAUGAAUUGUAUUAUGAAAAUGAUUUGCAAUUACAUGUGUGUCUGAUAUCAGUCAAACAUUUUAUAAUCGUAUAUGGGAGCUGUAAAUGUAUUGAAAUAAACGACACAGCUUUUUUAUUCUAAUCUAAACCAUUAUGAACUUGAAAAGGUGGAUGUCUAUCAAAUUACUAAAAUGGUCGGAAAGUAGUAGUCAGACUCCGGUUUACCAGAAACAUUUGCUUUGGACUAAUCAUUAGGCCUUCAGAUUUAGUAGAGAAGUUCACAUUUUAGAAUAUGAGAUGAUGUUGCCCUCUGCUGGUUGUAAAUGUGUUUUUCUCCGUUGACAUUGUGACCACUAAAUCACCUGGGCUCAGUUUUUCAAAAGUUAUCUGUCUGGAUUUCGCCUAUUGGAUAGGAUUAAAUGCAUAGAAAUAGACUGACAGGAACGGGAAUCCCCAUUCAAGUCAACGAUUUGUCCGUUCUAUUCAUUCUAUUUCUAUGCACUUAAUCCUAUCCGAUAGGCCAAAUCCAGAAAACUUUUGAAAAACUGGGCCCUGAGUAUUGCUUCACUGCGUGUAUCUUAAUUGUAUUUUCUUGAUUCUUCAUGUCCUCCCUCCUUGUCUCCUUCUGGUUCCUUCUCCUCUAAUGCGUUUUGAGAAGGAGGCAUAGAGAGAUGAUGUGAGAAAAAAUGUCAUGCAGUAUUGUGUUUUCAGUUGUGUAUCUUCUAUAUAUGAUCAAUUGAACCACCGUAAUACAUUUUGCUUGUGAAUUUGAGCUUUUUGGUGUUCAAGUGUUUUAUUAAAUUAAUAAAUCCAUCAUAUUUUUCAUGUUAUUGGUACAUUUUGGUGGAGAUGCACAUGUAGUACACAUCUAGAUGCCCUAUGAGCCCUGGUCAAAAGUACUUCACUAUAUAGGGAAUAGGGUUCCAUUUGGGACUCAGCCUGAUCUUUUCUCCACCCACAUGGUCGAGUAGCCAAUAACUGGUCCUCAAAACUAUGGCGUUGAAUGUCUCAACCUUUCCUAGGUCUACCUGAUCUCUUUCAACACUGAGACUGGCACACAAGACUAAGGUCUACCUCAUGUAGGCCACAGGUGAGGCUUGGAAUUUGUGGUCUCUUCUGUGGAGCAAUGUAGGCCAGUAGGUCAAAAGUAUGUACAUUAUAUACCUGAUAUCCUGAUCAUUUCCUGCAAGACAAAGAAGUAUGAUAAAGAGAAGUAUAAAUGAGUCCUGAAUGGAAGAACAUGCCGGUAUUCAGCAGAGAGCACACCAAGACUUAAAGGUACUUUAUUUAAUUACAGUUAUCCAAAGAUCAUAUAGCAAAUAUUACACAUUCAUUUGAAACACAGUUUAGAGGUGCAAGUGUAUGUAUGUAAGGCGAUGUAAAACAAUCAAAUAAUGGUGGAUUGGUGACACUAACAGUAUUUUUUUUUUUAGAGUUUUGCAGUGUGAGAGCUUUUCCUCAGCCAAGGACUUCAUUUCUCAAAGGAACAGAAGAGCUGCAGUCAUGUAAGUGCAACAAGAGAUUUAUGUAGUUAUGUAGAGUUCUUGUAGGUGGAAUAUAUGAAAAUCACUAAGUGGAUAUUUACGCUAUCUUAUACUUACAUGUGCACAUUGCAAGAUAUAAUACUAUAAAUGAUGCAUUGAAAAAAAGUGAUGCAUUGUGAAGUAUUGUACCAUAUGUUAUGAACCACAUUGAUAUUGCUCUGAUUAUCUGAAGUUUUUAAGUUUUUGUUUUUCAAUUCUUGUAUGUGACUAUAAUACUGACUGAGAUUGCUUGGUAUAUCUUGAAUAAUGUCUUUGACUUGACCCUAAAACUGUUUUGUUGACCCUGUAGUGAAGAAGAGGAUUUGUGUACAGGAGUGUAGCACUGUGGUUGGCUGGCUCUAACAAUAAGCUGAUUUUUGGAUCUGGAGUGAAUGUCAUUGUGCAAUCCCGUAAGUAUUACUUAUUGUUUUCAAUAUUGUGUAAUUUCUCAGCUAUGUGUUGCAACAGUGGAGAAUAUAGCUCUCUCUGAAAUUCAUUUUACGUUAUUGGGAAUAAACUGUUUGUUCAAAUCUGCUCUUCUGCUCAAUGCUUAAUACUUACUACUUUUCAGUUUUAAUUUCAUAACACAUUUAGAUUUUCCUUUUCCAUGAGACUUUUCUUUUCUAAGCGGAUUUGGAAAUGGACCAUUGUCAGUACAGAGUAAUUGUCAUGGUCUGUAUCUCAGUGUGAAUGCUCAGGGGGCAGGAAAGAUACAUUUUGGGAAUGGAAUCAAAAUGAUUGUGGAAACACGUAAGUUUCAUAUUUUUUUGCUUAAUCCUAAAAAGUCAACAAAACUGUGUGUGUUCAUACAUUUUUCAUAUAUAUUUGUUUUAAAUAUAUUUUCCCGUUGGUUAAGAUGAACUUAAUAGUGAAAAGUGAAUUCAAAUAGUGACUAAAAAUAUGUAGUCAGGAAGUCAAGGCAAAUCAGGUUAUUAGUGAGCAAAAAUAUGCUGUGUCACAAGUGAAAAAAAUGUAUUUUGCACAUGGGACUCAACUGUUUGUAGAGAAAGCUGAGAUUGUUUAACAUCACUGGGACACUUGUUUUAAACAAAUACCGUAGAUAAAUAAAUAGUGAGAUACACAUAUCAGGUAACCAGUAGCCUAAGCUAACUACAGUGUUGGCUUUUGUGGA
This 4744-nucleotide long non-coding RNA is filed under the name Oncorhynchus kisutch (coho salmon). RNAcentral's name for it is "lncRNA (ENSOKIG00005025480.1)". The record is from RNAcentral. Lineage: Eukaryota; Metazoa; Chordata; Actinopteri; Salmoniformes; Salmonidae.